AGUGAACGCUGGCGGUAGGCCUAACACAUGCAAGUCGAACGGCAGCACAGUAAGAGCUUGCUCUUACGGGUGGCGAGUGGCGGACGGGUGAGGAAUACAUCGGAAUCUACUUUUUCGUGGGGGAUAACGUAGGGAAACUUACGCUAAUACCGCAUACGACCUACGGGUGAAAGCAGGGGAUCUUCGGACCUUGCGCGAUUGAAUGAGCCGAUGUCGGAUUAGCUAGUUGGCGGGGUAAAGGCCCACCAAGGCGACGAUCCGUAGCUGAUCUGAGAGGAUGAUCAGCCACACUGGAACUGAGACACGGUCCAGACUCCUACGGGAGGCAGCAGUGGGGAAUAUUGGACAAUGGGCGAAAGCCUGAUCCAGCCAUACCGCGUGGGUGAAGAAGGCCUUCGGGUUGUAAAGCCCUUUUGUUGGGAAAGAAAAGCAGCAGGUUAAAACCCCGCUGUUCUGACGGUACCCAAAGAAUAAGCACCGGCUAACUUCGUG
RNAcentral lists this ribosomal RNA (492 nucleotides) under uncultured bacterium. RNAcentral describes it as "partial 16S ribosomal RNA". It matches the Rfam family "Bacterial small subunit ribosomal RNA", at positions 29 to 507 of the family's 1533-position model. The record is from RNAcentral.